RNAcentral lists this long non-coding RNA (408 nucleotides) under Homo sapiens (human). Its description in RNAcentral is "non-protein coding lnc-MARCKS-17:1". Lineage: Eukaryota; Metazoa; Chordata; Mammalia; Primates; Hominidae. The record is from RNAcentral.
UGGCUGUUUGAGCCCUUUCAAGUAUUUCCAGCGGAAGGCCCCAUUGGUAAGCUGGUUACCUGUGGUCUUUGGAAAUGGUUAUCAUGACUGGGACUUUUGGAAAAGAUCCAGAGAGGACACUAUCUAUUUAAUUAGCCAAAUGAGGGCCAGAACGAAAACCAAUUUGGCCUUCCUUUGUCACCAAAGAUCAUUCAAAUUUCAAAUGAAUUUACUGUGUUCAUGCUCAAGAUGGGCAUAUCCCAUAAAUAUGAACUUUCUAUUGAAAAAUUCCUGUGGUAAGGGUUUCUGUUCCAUAUUUUGUAUAUGGGAGAGUGCCAAUAAGGGGGUGCGGUAAUGCUGGGGACAAUUAAACUAGGAAUAUUUCAGGGAAUUUGUCUGACUGUACUGACAUUGGUUUGCCCAAAUAUG